Molecule: ribosomal RNA, 429 nt
Filed under: Chloroflexota bacterium
Lineage: Bacteria; Bacillati; Chloroflexota
Description: Chloroflexi bacterium partial 16S ribosomal RNA
Rfam family: Bacterial small subunit ribosomal RNA
Source: RNAcentral
UGGGGAAUAUUGCACAAUGGGCGCAAGCCUGAUGCAGCCAUGCCGCGUGUGUGAAGAAGGCCUUCGGGUUGUAAAGCACUUUCAGCGGGGAGGAAGGCGAUAAGGUUAAUAACCUUGUCGAUUGACGUUACCCGCAGAAGAAGCACCGGCUAACUCCGUGCCAGCAGCCGCGGUAAUACGGAGGGUGCAAGCGUUAAUCGGAAUUACUGGGCGUAAAGCGCACGCAGGCGGUCUGUCAAGUCGGAUGUGAAAUCCCCGGGCUCAACCUUGGAACUACAUUCGAAACUGGCAGGCUAGAGUCUUGUAGAGGGGGGUAGAAUUCCAGGUGUAGCGGUGAAAUGCGUAGAGAUCUGUAGGAAUACCGGUGGCGCAGGCGGCCCCCUGGACAAAGACUGACGCUCAGGUGCGAAAGCGUGGAGAGCAAACAGG